UUACAUUACAUCCGAAAACCUGAAUAAACAAGCCUCGCGACUCACAAGGUAAGCACCAAUGAGUGCAACAAAAGGGGAGAGUAGUUGUACCAGAAAGGCCGGUGAGAAUGCAAGCAGGAUCAUGAGAAAUGAGUGUGCAAGGUAGCCUCUGAUGACCAGAUCUGGAUCACGCACAGGUUGCUAUCAGCAACUGGUAUGGCGAGAUUAAAUCGCUCAUAGAAAAAUAUGUGACUCGGAGAAAUGACGAGGCGUGCAGGACGCAGCAGGCAAUGCGGCGGUGCCGGCGACAGGUGGCGUGGCCAUCCGGCGCACAGGAUUCGGA
RNAcentral lists this long non-coding RNA (322 nucleotides) under Setaria italica (foxtail millet). RNAcentral describes it as "long non-coding RNA (SITA_LNC002354)". The record is from RNAcentral. Lineage: Eukaryota; Viridiplantae; Streptophyta; Magnoliopsida; Poales; Poaceae.